GAAUCUGGCUUCAGGUUCGGGACAACAGUUGGAAACGGCUGCUAAUACCGGAUGUGCCUUAGGGUGAAAGAUUUAUCACCUGAAGAUGAGCUCGCGUCUGAUUAGCUAGUAGGUGUGGUAAGAGCGCACCUAGGCGACGAUCAGUAGCUGGUCUGAGAGGAUGAUCAGCCACACUGGGACUGAGACACGGCCCAGACUCCUACGGGAGGCAGCAGUGGGGAAUUUUCCGCAAUGGGCGAAAGCCUGACGGAGCAAUACCGCGUGAGGGAGGAAGGCUCUUGGGUUGUAAACCUCUUUUCUCAGGGAAGAAUGAUGACGGUACCUGAGGAAUAAGCAUCGGCUAACUCCGUGCCAGCAGCCGCGGUAAUACGGAGGAUGCAAGCGUUAUCCGGAAUGAUUGGGCGUAAAGCGUUCGCAGGUGGCAAUGUAAGUCUGCUGUCAAAGCGUCUGGCUCAACCAGAUAAAGGCAGUGGAAACUACAUAGCUAGAGUAAGGUAGGGGUAGAGGGAAUUCCUGGUGUAGCGGUGAAAUGCGUAGAGAUCAGGAAGAACACCGGUGGCGAAAGCGCUCUGCUGGACCUUAACUGACACUGAGGGACGAAAGCUAGGGGAGCG
Molecule: ribosomal RNA, 614 nt
Filed under: uncultured cyanobacterium
Lineage: Bacteria; Bacillati; Cyanobacteriota
Description: bacterial SSU rRNA
Rfam family: Bacterial small subunit ribosomal RNA
Source: RNAcentral